Molecule: long non-coding RNA, 2626 nt
Filed under: Daphnia magna
Lineage: Eukaryota; Metazoa; Arthropoda; Branchiopoda; Diplostraca; Daphniidae
Description: uncharacterized LOC116926262, transcript variant X4
Source: RNAcentral
AAGAUGGCGGUGGGUAUACCCGGUUUGCCCAUCAAAUCCGCCCAGCCUACCCAUUUUGGAAAAUAGGCUACCCGGAUCACCCAUGGGCGACUAUUUUUGGCGACGAUCAGCAGGUAACCCGGGUUUUCGAGAACCGGGGCCGAGCCCUAGGCGCUCAAUGACCAAACUAAACAAUCGACCUCAGUUGGCAACAUCCGAACAUCGUGAUUAAGCUUACGAAUGAAAUUUGAAGCAAAGAUUCUGGUUCAGACACGUGUCUACUGCUGUACCAAAGUGUUUCGAUAGCUCAAGUUUAAUGGAAGACAUUUUUGGGAGGCGUAUCUGAAACAAUGUUUAAACUGUAGAUCAGCUAAAGAAGAAGAUGUAAGAAAAGAAAUGGCUGAGAAAAGGAAAUUUUAGCUGUAAGGACUGUACAAUACUGCAGAGGUUCCUGUUAAUUAUCUACUUCAUGUUUCGUUGUUUUUGGGAGCGUGGGAAAUGUGAUAUUUGCCACACACUCAAACAGACGAAUGAUAACAAGAACAUGGAGGAGUAGAGUGUUAUUUGUGCUGGAGCAGAUAAAGAAAUUAAAGUUGGACAUCAAAAACUAGGCUUUACUUCAUGCACAAUGUGAUUUGGUUACCAGCUGUGCAGAACAGACAUAGUCCAUCCUCAAAAAGCGAAGAUUAAAAUGAACUGGAAUUCCCAGAUGACCCAUUUUAGAGUAACUGGGUUCUCCAGAUCUGACCAGAACGUUGAUUACCGACCUAGCGUGGGGAACAAGAAAUUAACGUUUCGUCGAUCAUCCGUGAAUCGCAGACUUUUCCCCUGUGGAGAAGUCAAGGUUCUGCAACGUCCCCUCACAUCAGCCUGCUGAGUGUAAAAGACACCUCUGUGGUUGAAAACUAAAUAAGCUAACCAUGGGAACGAGAGCGACGGCUCUACGGAAGUAAACCUCGGCUUCAACAAUCCGUCUGGCGUCGUGUAGAGCGUGAGCGGCAGCCACGGUCCACGCAAUGCUGUCAGGUUCGAUUUGAACGGCCUGGAUGUACACCUCUGCGGCUUCGUCAUGCCUCUUCCGGGCAGAUAGGAAUUCGCCUGUCAAAUUACAUGACGGCGGAUUGAUUUCUAUGCCGGAUCGGUACAGGUGUUCCUCGUCGAUCCAGUCGUUGUUCCUUUGGAUCGUUCGCCGUCCCGAAGCCAAUAAAACAAUCAGCAACGAAAAGCAGAUGAUUGUUCGAUUCGACUGCUGGACCAGUAAUUUUUGCACCCCGAUUCCGACGAGGAGACAGAAACCGACCGAAGUCUUACGGACGACCGUGACGAGAAUUGCGUAGAAAAUUAGCGUAGCCAUAUUGCGGAUGUCAUUGAUGCAAGUGACGGGCUGGAUGGCGUCCAUGGACCAAUCGAAACUGAGCCAUCGCGGAUACAGCAGCAGACCAAAAUGAAAUACCUAAGCUACUGGUAAAUAGAGAAAUGUGAGGGUACGAGUUGUCCAUGACGACGAUGCAGCUGUUGGGUUGUCCGCCUUAGCAAAUUGCGGUGUCUGGAAGCCGGAUAUCCAAAAGCGAUUGUCGAGGAUGGCCGUGAAUGACGAGGACGACGUCGUAAAGGAGACAGAUGGGCGUCAACAUGAUGCCGUACUCUUUGCUGAAGAAAGCGGCACAAGUCAAAACCAACGUCAUCGUUAAACUAGCCCGUCUACCGUAGUUGACAAGGCCGGCUAGGACGAAGAAAGUGCAUAGCAAAUCUGCCCGUCCGACCAAUCCAGCCACAGCUUCGCAAUGGAUCGGGAAUAAUGUUGAUGCUCCUCCGGCUAUGAUGGUCACCGCUGCAGUAAUCACACAGUGAAGCAAGACGUUUGUCCAAUGGUACCAAUAGGCAUGAUUUACUCCGACCAGAUGUGCGGUCCAGCGAAAUGAUAGCGUUACCAAAGGGCGGUACGAUCCGUGCGAUUCGGAAGCGUUGAGCGGAGUGCCCCAAAAGUCAUGCACCAUCAGAGCGCUCAUGGUGGACGACUCGGAAGCAACGGUUUAUGGUUGUCUAAUAAAACGAAAAAGGAGCAGCCGUGGCAGUGAUACUGUGAUGAGCAUUUAGAUAUCAGUUAAACGGCCGUACAAAAUACGCAACGGAAGGCCACAGUCGAAGAAUGCUCUAUGGCUAGCGGAAUAAAAAUAUUUCCUCUUGAAUAUAUCAUAGCCGGCAGCGGAAAAAAAAUGGCUCGUGUGGAGAAUUGUUGUUGCUGGCAUUCGAUUGAGACUAAUCAAAAGGUAUGCCCCAGGCUGUGAUGAUCGUCCUAUCACGUCGCCUGAACGAACCCUGCAGGCAGUUUCCCGUCAACGCCGUUGAGUGACGAGGAUAGAAUUUCGUGGGAAAGUUCUGUUGGCCGCCAAAUUCGGUGACAUCUAGGGGAGAAGCCAGCAACUCCUUAAAAGUUACAUUGGCAUGUCAUUCACUGUCGCCUGCCGUUGACUGAGGAUGGUGGUCAAAAUGGAUGUCGCCUUCAUUGAAAUUUAUCAUCUACCGAUUCUGUUUGUCUAGAGGUCUCCCAGAUGUACCUGACUGUGUUGGCCAUGUGAUCACCCUGUGCCAGAAACGACUACAACUAUUUUUAUAUUGUAGUGUAAAUAAAAUAUAUCCACAACAA